This 230-nucleotide non-coding RNA is filed under the name Bacillus sp. (in: firmicutes). RNAcentral's name for it is "Bacillus sp. T-box sequence". It matches the Rfam family "T-box leader". Rfam says of the family: Uncharged tRNA acts as the effector for transcription antitermination of genes in the T-box leader family. The record is from RNAcentral. Lineage: Bacteria; Bacillati; Bacillota; Bacilli; Caryophanales; Bacillaceae.
UAAAAGACGUUGAUUAGGAAGAGUAUAUUCAGAAGCUUUAAAGAGAGAGAGAUCCUAGGCUGAGAGAUUUCUUAAGAUGGAUGAAUAGAAGGUCGCCUAUGAGUCACUUUGUUGAAAUAAAUUAGGCAGAGUCGGAGUAACCGUUAGCUUUUUUGAGUGUGUACAUCUUAGGUAUGGAUAGAUGUACAAACAAAGGUGGUACCGCGAAUAUAACUCUCUUCGUCCUUUGG